UGGCGAACGGGUGAGUAACACGUUAGUAACCUGCCCACAACUUUGGGAUAACGCUAGGAAACUGGUGCUAAUACUGGAUAUGUGCUCCUGCUGCAUGGUGGGGGUUGGAAAGCUCCGGCGGUUGUGGAUGGACUCGCGGCCUAUCAGCUUGUUGGUGGGGUAGUGGCCUACCAAGGCGGCGACGGGUAGCCGGCCUGAGAGGGUGACCGGCCACAUUGGGACUGAGAUACGGCCCAG
This 237-nucleotide ribosomal RNA is filed under the name uncultured Actinomycetales bacterium. Its description in RNAcentral is "partial 16S ribosomal RNA". It matches the Rfam family "Bacterial small subunit ribosomal RNA", at positions 96 to 334 of the family's 1533-position model. Lineage: Bacteria; Bacillati; Actinomycetota; Actinomycetes; Actinomycetales. The record is from RNAcentral.